This is a long non-coding RNA of Amphiprion ocellaris (clown anemonefish), 543 nucleotides long. The record is from Ensembl. Lineage: Eukaryota; Metazoa; Chordata; Actinopteri; Pomacentridae.
AUACUAUAGAAGGCAGCUCGCGAGCGUAUCUAGUCUGCUAUAUACAUCUGUGGUCGGCACGUGUGGUUGCAUCUCUGGCUGCUGUUGAUCUUGUUUUUGGAGUAAAACACGAUGCACAAUGAGGGACGUCUGCAGAGACUGAGAAAGAGUCUCACCACAUCCUGACAUGAGGAAAAAGACUUGAUUGAAGACUACAAUGAGAAAAACUAUCAGACAGCAGACGGCUGCAUUCAAGGUGAGCUCUGAACAUUUGAUCUGGAACAGGAAUUCAAUAACGGCAGCAUGAGCUUCAUUUCAGUCUGUAGCUGCUGAAUUCAUGGAUGAAUCAUCUGGCAGUAGAGAGGAAGACCAUCAAACAUUCACGUCAGCUGAUGGAGGUCCAAGAGUCUCACCCAACAAACAACCUACAGAGUGAAGACCUUGAAUCUGAUUGGACGGCCUCCUAUUCAGCCACAUGUGAACAAAUGCCUCUAAGUUGGUUUGUUUUCUAAAAUAACAUGACAUGUUCAGGCGUUCUUUGUGUGAAAACUCAGAGAUUUCAGG